RNAcentral lists this long non-coding RNA (225 nucleotides) under Elaeis guineensis (African oil palm). RNAcentral's name for it is "long non-coding RNA (EGUI_LNC030091)". The record is from RNAcentral. Lineage: Eukaryota; Viridiplantae; Streptophyta; Magnoliopsida; Arecales; Arecaceae.
UGCUGAUGGGUCAGACUUGAUUCAAAAUUUUGAACCAGUCCUUCUCGUGGGUCUUGUUCCAUGUCAAGACUCCCUACUGCUGUAGAGGUAAGACUUGGGUCAAAAUUUAGACCUGAACGUUUGCAUGGGUCUGCUUCCAUACUGGAGUGAUUGAAAUGUAGACCCGAACCUUCUCGUGAGUCUAUUUACAGAUUGCAGUGAUUGGCAAACCACAGAUUGUAGUCU